This 357-nucleotide ribosomal RNA is filed under the name Reticulitermes hesperus. RNAcentral describes it as "partial large subunit ribosomal RNA". Lineage: Eukaryota; Metazoa; Arthropoda; Insecta; Blattodea; Rhinotermitidae. The record is from RNAcentral.
AACAUCUUUUCUCGUUAGUUUUUGAAGUAUGGCCUGCCCACUGACUUUUGUGUUGAAGGGCCGCGGUAUUUUGACCGUGCAAAGGUAGCAUAGUCAUUAGUUCUUUAAUUGUGAUCUGGUAUGAAUGGCUUGACGAGGCAUGGGCUGUCUUAAUUUUGAAUUAUUUAUUGAAUUUGGUCUUUGGGUUAAAAUUCUUAGAUGUUUUUAUGGGACGAGAAGACCCUAUAGAGUUUAACAUUUAUUAUGGUCCCUUUUUGUUUGUGAGGGUUCACUGGGCCGUUUAGUAUGUUUUGUUGGGGUGAUGGGAGGGAUUUAUUUAACCCCUCCUUUGAUUGUUAUAUUUAUUUAUAUUUACUU